This 501-nucleotide ribosomal RNA is filed under the name Triticum aestivum (bread wheat). RNAcentral's name for it is "partial small subunit ribosomal RNA". The record is from RNAcentral. Lineage: Eukaryota; Viridiplantae; Streptophyta; Magnoliopsida; Poales; Poaceae.
AUGGAUUCCAUCUUGGCAAAUGAAACUUGGGAGAUAACUGAUCGUCCUUAUGGGUGCAAACCUAUAGGAUGCAAAUGGGUAUUCAAGAAGAAGCUUAGGCCUGAUGGUACUAUUGAAAAGUACAAGGCUCGGCUCGUGGCUAAGGGUUAUACCCAAAAGGAAGGUGAAGACUUCUUUGAUACUUACUCACCUGUGGCUCGACUGACCACUAUUCGAGUUCUACUUUCACUAGCUGCCUCGCAUGGUCUUCUCGUUCAUCAAAUGGAUGUUAAGACUGCUUUCCUAAAUGGAGAGUUGGACGAGGAAAUUUAUAUGGAACAACCAGAUGGGUUUGUACUAGAUGGUCAGGAAGGGAAAGUGUGCAAGUUGCUGAAGUCUUUGUACGGACUUAAGCAAGCACCCAAACAGUGGCAUGAGAAGUUUGAAAGAACUUUAACAGCUGCAGGCUUUGUUGUGAACGAAGCUGACAAAUGUGUGUACUAUCACCAUGGUGGGGGAUGA